This is a small nucleolar RNA of Lethenteron reissneri (Far Eastern brook lamprey), 66 nucleotides long. RefSeq annotates it as small nucleolar RNA SNORD37. The record is from RefSeq and is a predicted model, not a curated record. Lineage: Eukaryota; Metazoa; Chordata; Hyperoartia; Petromyzontiformes; Petromyzontidae.
GAUGAUGACGAAAUAAAAUUCUUCACUUUGACCUGAUCUUCAUUGAUGAGGACCUUUGUUCUGAUU